Molecule: transfer-messenger RNA, 349 nt
Filed under: bovine gut metagenome
Rfam family: transfer-messenger RNA
About the family: Bacterial tmRNA, also known as 10Sa RNA or SsrA, is named for its dual tRNA and mRNA-like properties. Its role is to liberate the mRNA from a stalled ribosome.
Source: RNAcentral
GGGGUCGAAUAUGGUUUCGACUGGUCUAGUUUGAUUUAGACUGCAGUGGUGUGAUGACCUAAUCAUCAAAACAAAUUAAACGCUAACACUAAUUUAGCCUUUGCCUAACCAAUAAGCCGACGCAGGCUUUAGGCGCUUCUAUCUGCCAGGUUCAUAACAGGUAGUCGUAAACAUGAACUAGGUGAAGCAAGUUGCGCUCUUUCCCUUGCCAUCCGAAAACCGAAAAGGCGGAUUCAAUAUCUGGUCGUUUAAGCCAAGGGUAUUGUCUUAUUCAAAGUUAAACUAAACUGUAGACGUUUAAAUGUGGGAUUAUUCCAGGACGAGGGUUCGAGUCCCUCCGACUCCACCA